RNAcentral lists this transfer RNA (73 nucleotides) under Myxococcales bacterium. RNAcentral's name for it is "tRNA-Trp". It matches the Rfam family "tRNA". Rfam says of the family: Transfer RNA (tRNA) molecules are approximately 80 nucleotides in length. Their secondary structure includes four short double-helical elements and three loops (D, anti-codon, and T loops). Lineage: Bacteria; Pseudomonadati; Myxococcota; Myxococcia; Myxococcales. The record is from RNAcentral.
AGGGCGUUGGUGUUUAACGGGAGCAUCGCGGACUCCAAAUCCGCUGGUGGGGGUUCGAAUCCCUCACGCCCUG